This 253-nucleotide ribosomal RNA is filed under the name uncultured bacterium. Its description in RNAcentral is "partial 16S ribosomal RNA". It matches the Rfam family "Bacterial small subunit ribosomal RNA", at positions 524 to 776 of the family's 1533-position model. The record is from RNAcentral.
UACGUAGGGGGCAAGCGUUGUCCGGAUUUAUUGGGCGUAAAGAGCGUGUAGGCGGCCAUGUAGGUCCGUUGUGAAAACUCGAGGCUCAACCUCGAGACGCCGAUGGAAACCAUGUGGCUAGAGUCCGGAAGAGGAGACUGGAAUUCCUGGUGUAGCGGUGAAAUGCGCAGAUAUCAGGAGGAACACCGGUGGCGAAGGCGGGUCUCUGGGCCGUAACUGACGCUGAGGAGCGAAAGCGUGGGGAGCGAACAGG